This 71-nucleotide transfer RNA is filed under the name Ictidomys tridecemlineatus (thirteen-lined ground squirrel). RNAcentral's name for it is "Spermophilus tridecemlineatus (thirteen-lined ground squirrel) tRNA". It matches the Rfam family "tRNA". From Rfam's summary of the family: Transfer RNA (tRNA) molecules are approximately 80 nucleotides in length. Their secondary structure includes four short double-helical elements and three loops (D, anti-codon, and T loops). Lineage: Eukaryota; Metazoa; Chordata; Mammalia; Rodentia; Sciuridae. The record is from Rfam by way of RNAcentral.
GGGGUUUUAGCUCAGUGGUAGAGCACUUGCCUAGCAUGUGUGAGGCUCUGAGUUCAAUUCUCAGCACCUCA